Dermochelys coriacea (leatherback sea turtle) is the source of this 4176-nucleotide long non-coding RNA. RefSeq lists it as uncharacterized. The transcript has 3 exons. NCBI's taxonomy places the organism in Eukaryota, Metazoa, Chordata, Testudines, Dermochelyidae. The record is from RefSeq and is a predicted model, not a curated record.
CACAGCACAUUGCAGAUUCUAUAUGCGCAAUGCCAUAGAAAUGCAGGUUCCACCCCUUUUGUCAGUCUGCAGAAUAUUCACAGUGAAGCCACAUGCUGCUGUGAGGCUGUGAUGUCACCACCAUGUACCUGGCAACACACUGUGAUGUCAUAAGAAGAGGUUCACGAUGACUUUGUGGCUGGUUCGGGCAGAAAGAGACACUCUGUCUUUAACUCUAGCAGUGGGGGAACACCGACCAGGUCAGUUGCUUUCUAUAAUCAGGAUUUUUAUCCCCUCCCCCCACAAUGCCUGCUGUGAUGUAAAAGUCCCUAUUCCAGAGUAAAACGUGGGAGGAGGCUCAGAAGUGACAACAGUGAGGUACGGGCCCCUUACCUAGGUGACUGGAGCAGGGGCUACAGCUGAACUCUCAGUGCUGGAGCUCCGCACAGCUAACUCCCAGCCAGAGGCUAGGACAAGGCAUCAGCUAGGUGCUGGUACCAAUUAGCAGUCUCAAUGGGGUUAUUACAGGACAAGCUCUGUUUAACUUAACUGCUAACAGACUGGCUCUGUCAGCUGGAAGGAAUCACAGGCAAACAGACUUAAUGGCAGCCUGGGGGAGUGGGGGUGGGGAGAAUGGUCCCUUCCUUUCCUAUACCCAGUGUAUUUGAUACAGUGCAAAUGUAACCGUCCUGUGAAACAUGUGUACAAGGAGGAGUCAGAAAUCAUUAAAGUCGGGUGUAUUGGUCAAUCCAAGUUUUGCUGAGUGACAUGAAUCCCAUGGAACCUGCUGGCCCUUUGACACAACAACCUCGUGGGGUCCUCUUGUCACCAGAGGCCAACAACAAGGCCACACAGCUGCUCAGCAUGUACGAGCUGUGUGAACUGAAAGGAUUCGCACCUAUACUUUCUUACAGACCUAGUGUCACUUUUGGGAGAGUCUGACAAACACAGCUCCCAGGCUAAGGACCUGACUCCCAUUCUGACCAUGGUCAGCAGCAGCCCUGUGCUGUUGGAUUCCACUGUUAGACCUUGUUCUCCCAGCGUGACACCUGUCAAUCCUGACUCCGACUUGGAAACACGGCACAGCCUGGUCUGGGGACCCUGGAGUUCUGCUGAAGACACCGACAUGAGUGUAAAUGGAUUAAAACACAAUCGUGGCUGGAGCAGCUCCCUGCAGCACUGCUCAGCAUGGCCAGCCUUUCGCUCCCUGUGCUUGGUUGAGGGAAGGGAGAAGCACAUCCUGCUCCAUGUUUCCCUUACACACUGGACUCUGGCUCCUGCCUUACGUGAACCAAUGUCCAGUGAAGUCAAUGGUAAGAUUCCCCAUUGAGUUUAGUGGGUUUUGGAUCAGACUCUUAAAGCCACAGAUCUUUUUUGGAUAUGGAGCAGUCUUGGUACCACCUUUCUGAGAGCAGAAAUAUCAUCAGCCCUGUUAAAGGGAAGGCGUGGGGCAGCGGGAGCCGAGGCCGGGGGUGGGGAAAGGCUGCACAAAACCAAGCCCUGCAGUGUUGCUCACAUCACAAUUGCACUGGCAUUGAUCUGUCAUCUGUGAACUCUCCUAGCUGAACCAAAGGGCCUGCCCUCUCAAACUCUGCAUGACUGAGAUUGGGAGCCUGAGCGAGGGGACUAUUUGACUUGCACACAUGGACACCUGGCUUCAGGGAUAGCUCAUCUUUGCCUCUAGUGACAAAAUCAAAAAGCCUCCAGGAAAUUUGGCCUGAUGAUGAAUCCUGGAGCUGCUAUCAGGCAGAACUAGCAUCUCCAAACGGGGUAGCCUGCCUUGGAAUUCCGAAUGGAUAAUAAUGCUAAAUGGCCAUGUGUGUGAAAAUGCCCUACGCUAAUGGGCGCUGCUACUGCUGCGACACAUCAUCUAGACAGAGAUUGAUGUCAUUAGUACUUAGUAUUUGUUAAGAACCAACAGCGUACCUGUUGCUGAAAAAGACACAGAAGAUAUGGACAGUGUACUGUGCAAACUUGACAUGCUUGGGAAGCAUUUGAACUUGCAUUUGACUGAAGUAAUAAAGGUCAGGGUGAGAGGCAUGGAGAGAGCUGUGUGAGGGGAGCCCAGGGCUGGGAUAGCAGGGGGGCUGCAGGUCAGGGGUGAGGGGCACUGGUAGAGCUCUGUGUGGGAUGCUCAGGGCUAGGAUAGCUGGGGACUGCAGGUCAGGGGUGAGGGGCAUUGGCUGAGCUGUACCAAUCUAGAUGGCAUUUGCAGUGCACAAUGGUGCAUGAAAUGAUGGGUGGAAGUCACCAACAAACAAAGCAUCGAGGUGCAUUAGCACAACAUACCCAGCUCCCUACUUACUGAGGACCCAGUGCACGGUCCUGGCUUUUAAAAAAUGCAUGAAAGGACAUGCCAACAACAAACCCCACAUGCACACAACCCCCCCAGUCCCAAAGAAUGCUCAAAGUGCUAUGGAAUUCCUUUAAGAUGCCCCAAAUCUCCCCUAAUCUUGGUGUCAGGAUUCAGCAUUUCUGAUGUCAAUAGUGUUUGGUUAUAAGCAGCGGCAUCAUGCCAGGUUCCCUGUGGGUCAGAGGGAACACUGGAUUCAAGAGAGGUGUUAUAAUUGGUAGUGAAGAGCAGCUGAGAUGCUCACGCAGAGCUCUGACCAAAGCAUGUGGCUCUUGCUUUGAAUGGUCCUACUUCCAUUGGAAAAGAAAACCAAAAUGAAGAUCUGAAGGCAUUGUGCGUACGUGGAGCUGCACAAUCCCUUCAUAACCAGUGGGGCUCUGGGGCUGGAAAGGUCCCAUGCUGCUGGGCUUUGCAAAUGAACUGUCCCCGGUAAAGUCUGGUCUGCAGUCUACAGAGAGGAUGUGGCAGCGUGUGCAAAAACAGGUAGGGAAGAGAAGAAUGGCCCCCGAAGGAGAAAAAUUCCAGUAAAGCAGAAUGGACAGAGCAGCUGAAUAGGAAGCAGUUUUCAUCAAGUAGUUCCUCACCCGCACACCACACGCACAGGGGCCACCCCCUUUGAUAAACCUCCAGGCUGCGGCCGGGAAGAUUAUGAGAGAUACCGACUGCUGGGAAAUGUAGAUGGGAUGGAUCCAAAUAGCUCGGCCUAGAUGUGAUCUUUGAACAAACAGGUGCAACAUUGAGACACCAGCAUGAGACAGCCCAGCCAAUAAUGCAAACAGCUUGAACUUGCUCGCAGUGUGGGGGAAGGGCCUCCCCAAGAGCAGCCCUAGGAGGGAAAGGAAAGGGUUAAAGAGCUAAUUGGGCCCCGCACAGCACAUCCACCACCUCACCUCGUGUGACACAAGUCAUGAGACCAGGGGAGGGCAAGGAGCAGUUUUCUUUCUCUCCUGUUUGCUGAACCUCUAAUUAUCAUUUUUGUGCAAGGCAAGGAGAUGGAAUUCCAUUGUGCGUCAGCUGGGAGAGCCUCCUGAAUGGGGUUUUUCUUCUUUUCUUAAAGGGGACAGUCCUUCCUAAUCCUCUUUCUCGCUGUGGACGGAACUGCUCUCCUUCAAAAGCCUUCCCAAGAGCGCCUGGGUUUGUAAAUGAUUUUAGCCGCCACGCAAGUUGCUGGGCUGAUGUCUCCCCAGGGUCUCUGUUGAUCCCCAAACCGCUUCAGCACAGGCAGGAGCAGGGCAAGUGUAUCACACCCCUUGCCUCAAUUCUGACUUACAGAGACCACCUCUAGGGGAGAGAGGGGAGUUCAGCCUCAGUGGCCCGUUUACUCCUUGGCCGCUCUGCUGAGGCUGUCAAGCAGGGGGCCAAUCAGUGCUGGUUGUGGAGGUGUGUUCUGUGAGACAGGUGCUUGUCCACUAGGAACUGGUCCAAGAUCCCCCCGUCAUUUCACACAGGCCCUGAACAGCAAUCUGGUGGUAAUAACCGUGGGUCACUAGAAAGUGACCUUGAGGUGAAAGACUUCAUAUCUCAUUACUGGUUCCCUAAGCCAUCAACCCACUUGGUCUCUUUGAAUCAGAAAAUGGUAUUGAACCCAUUUGAGAAAGUUCCCUGCUGGCUGGUGUUCAGUCUUGUGUGUUUCCCAGCAGAUACGUGGGAACUAUAAUUAAAAUCCUCCAUGACUACCAAGUGCUGGGACUUUGCCAUUGAUGUUAUGUGAUUAGGCAGGAAUUUAUUGAUUGCUUUUUUUCUGCUGUGCAUGUUUUGUAGCUGAUGCUAACUCUGAUUCUUCUUUCCUCCCCUCCCCCUUUAUGAUGUGUGUCUAACUUUAGCCAUUAAACUUUGCUUUUUGU